AUUGAACGCUGGCGGCAUGCCUUACACAUGCAAGUCGAACGGCAGCACGGGGGCAACCCUGGUGGCGAGUGGCGAACGGGUGAGUAAUAUAUCGGAACGUACCCGGAAAUGGGGGAUAACGUAGCGAAAGUUACGCUAAUACCGCAUAUUCUGUGAGCAGGAAAGAGGGGGAUCGCAAGACCUCUUGCUUUAGGAGCGGCCGAUGUCGGAUUAGCUAGUUGGUGAGGUAAAGGCUCACCAAGGCGACGAUCCGUAGCGGGUCUGAGAGGAUGAUCCGCCACACUGGGACUGAGACACGGCCCAGACUCCUACGGGAGGCAGCAGUGGGGGAAUUUUUGGACAAUGGGCGCAAGCCUGAUCCAGCCAUGCCGCGUGAGUGAAGAAGG
RNAcentral lists this ribosomal RNA (386 nucleotides) under uncultured bacterium. RNAcentral describes it as "bacterial SSU rRNA". It matches the Rfam family "Bacterial small subunit ribosomal RNA", at positions 30 to 414 of the family's 1533-position model. The record is from RNAcentral.